Molecule: ribosomal RNA, 707 nt
Filed under: Nannaria scholastica
Lineage: Eukaryota; Metazoa; Arthropoda; Diplopoda; Polydesmida; Xystodesmidae
Description: partial large subunit ribosomal RNA
Source: RNAcentral
GGGAUGAAAUAUUAUUCAAGUUAUUUUGUAUCUGGUUCUCUAAAAGAUUUAAUUGGUUGCAUUAUUGUUAGGUCUGUAAGCAGGGAUUAGCUUGUUUAUUAUUUAUAUGCUUUUAUGGGGUAAUUUUGUUUAUGGAGUUGAUAGUGCUUAUUUUUAAGGAGUUAUUAUAGGACAGGGGUUUUGAAUUAUUAUUUUUUGGUUGUGUAAUAAUUAGAGUUGUUUAGGUAAUUUUUUCUUUUACGGAAUAAUGAUUAGAUUAGUAAUAUUUUAUUUAAUUUUGAUGUAGUUUUUAAGAUGGGUUGAAAGUAGGUAUGUUAAUUUUUAAUUGGGGUAGAUGAAUUCGGCAAAAUUAAUUUUUGACUGUUUAGCAAAAACAUUGUUUUUUGUUUAAUUAAAAAAUAAGUUCUGUCCACUGCUAUUAGGUGAAGGGCUGCAGUAUUUUGACUGUAUGAAGGUAGCAUAAUCAUUAGCUUUUUAAUUGGGGGCUGGUAUGAAGGUGAAACAGAGAUUGUCUAUAUUUGCUCUAUUAAUUGAAUUUUGUGUCUGUGUGAAAAAUCAUGGGUAGAUUAGAGGGACAAGAAGACCCUAAUAAGUUUUAUUUUUUUUAUUUUAUGAUGGUAUAGGUGUUAAUUUAUUUGAUUGGAGUAGGGGGGUUUAGCUGGGGCGGCUGUUUAUUUAACAUAAAUAAAUUUUUAACUCUGUUUGAC